AUGAGGCGGGCAGGCUUGCAACGUUUUGGUUUGCCCGAGGCCAACAACAGGUUGCGAAGUUGCGAUCCGAGCAGAGGCCACACCAGGGCAGCUGAAGAUUCGCGAGGUAGAGCCAAGACCUUGGGGCAGGGCUCUUGUAGAAGGCCCAAAGAUCUUCGGAGUACGCGUCACCUUCCACAAGCCGACAAAGACAACAUCUUGGCAGUCCUCAGGACGACUGAGCCCGCUGCCGACUACAAGGCCGAGCUCCUGAAGAUAAAACCACAAUGCCAGCAUGAAGAUAAAGAUCAUGUCCGGGACAUCGAAGACCAGCUACUUCAAUCUCAGACACGCUCGUGGGCUACUGAUGAUAGUACACCAAGGGUGGCUUCUGCCUAG
RNAcentral lists this ribosomal RNA (378 nucleotides) under Triticum aestivum (bread wheat). RNAcentral's name for it is "partial small subunit ribosomal RNA". Lineage: Eukaryota; Viridiplantae; Streptophyta; Magnoliopsida; Poales; Poaceae. The record is from RNAcentral.